GACGAACGCUGGCGGCGUGCUUAACACAUGCAAGUCACGGGGGUCCCGCAAGGGAUAACCGGCGAACGGGUGCGUAACACGUGAACAACCUGCCCUCGUGUGGGGGAUAGCCAUGCUAACGCGUGGGUAAUACCGCAUACGUUCUCUUUGGGAGUCCCGAGGAGAGGAAAGCUCCGGCGCACGGGGAGGGGUUCGCGGCCUAUCAGCUAGUUGGCGGGGUAAUGGCCCACCAAGGCGACGACGGGUAGCUGGUCNGAGAGGAUGGCCAGCCACAUUGGGACUGAGAGACGGCCCAGACUCCUACGGGAGGCAGCAGUGGGGAAUAUUGCACAAUGGGCGGAAGCCUGAUGCAGCGACGCCGCGUGA
This 366-nucleotide ribosomal RNA is filed under the name uncultured bacterium. Its description in RNAcentral is "bacterial SSU rRNA". It matches the Rfam family "Bacterial small subunit ribosomal RNA", at positions 28 to 404 of the family's 1533-position model. The record is from RNAcentral.